Microcebus murinus (gray mouse lemur) is the source of this 3701-nucleotide long non-coding RNA. NCBI's taxonomy places the organism in Eukaryota, Metazoa, Chordata, Mammalia, Primates, Cheirogaleidae. The record is from Ensembl.
AUGCGUGCUUACAGAUCUUUGCUGUUUUGCUUUUUAGGUGCAAACCCGAAUUAUCCUGAUGUAAUUUAUGAAGAUUAUGGGACUGCAACAAACGACGUCGGGGACACCACCAACAGAAGUAACGAUAUCCCUCCCACUGGGGUUGCUGACACAACUGGUCGGGAACAUCUCUCGGUCUAUGCUGUUGUGGUAAUUGCAUCUGUGGUGGGAUUUUGUCUGCUGAUAAUGCUGUUUCUGCUUAAGUUGGCAAGACACUCCAAGUUUGGCAUGAAAGGACACAGGAAGGCAAGAGAAAGAGGACUGUACAUGGAUUCUGAAUAGCCAAGCUACAGUGUCUGCCAAAGGUCAGGUGGAGCCCUUAGAGAGAAAGCGGUAAGGCUGUUUCAAAAGAUGGUAUUAAUUUAUGAUGUCAUAGGAUUAUAAUUUAUUUAGCUUUUCUGAAAGUCCCAAAACUCUUGCUGAUUCAGAUCAUUAAUUUAGUGAGGAAUUGUUUUGGUGGAAUAUUUGGGCAUCUUUUAUGACCAAGGGAAUUUCUAAAUCUAUUAAUUGUGGAAACAAGACGGGCGGUAGGAAUCAUAUUUCACCUUCUCACGGAACAGACUUUUUAAGUGCUUGCAAAGAAAUUUCAUGAAAACUAUUGAUGAAUUAUAUAAUUUUAAGUUCUUUUUUUUUUUUUUCAUUUGAGUGAGGCUGAAUUACCCCCUACUUCCCAGAACAAGUCAGAAGUAUUUUAUUGGCUUAAUUUUGAUUCCUUUAUGUAUAUGAAAGCAAUAAAGCUGCGUUUCUUUAAACUUAUUUCAUAACUUAGAGCUUUCAUAAAUUCACACUGGCUUUUCUUUCUAGUCUUUAUAAAUUAGAUUCUACUGCAAAUUAAUCAUAUUCUGAUAAGCACAUUGAAACAGUAGAACAUUCACUUAAGGAGGGAGCUAAAGGUGAGACAAGGUAAAGCAAGUAAAAGAAGGAAUAUCAGGCAGGUGGUUGUGUUACUCCUAGGUCAGUAAACUACAGUCUGUGGGCCACAUCCAAGCUACCAUUCAUUAUAUUUUUAUAAGUUUAAGUUUUACUGGAACACACCAGCUCACUUCUCCCACGUUGCCUAUGGUUGCUUUCCUACGGCAAUGGCAGAGUGAGUAGCUGUGACAGAGACUGAAGGGCCUACAGAGUUGAAAAUUACUCAUUAUUUGACCCUCUACAGAAGAAGUUUGGUGACGCAUACAUAAUGGCCAUGGGUGAUUCCAUGAGAGCUGAACACAGUGAGUGGCUCCUUCUUCCCCUCCAUGUGGAAAUCACUUUAAUAUUUAUGGAAAACUUUAAAAAAAUAAAGUAAAAAUAUGUGAAUAAUUUAGCAAUAGCACAUUCAGGAGUCUUACACAGGAGCCACUGGGACUACCUUAGUUUGCUCGUGUUGCUGUGGCAAAAUACCACAGAGUAGGUAGAUUGUAAACAACAGAAAUUUAUUUCUCACAGUUCUGGAGGCUGGGAAGUUCAAGAUCAAGGUGUCUGGUGAGGGCCACUUCAUAGACGGUGCCUUCUCAUCGUGUCCUCAAGGUGGAAGGGGUGGAUGAGCUCCCUUGCGCCUCUUCUAUAAGGGCACUAAUCCCAUUCAUGAGGGCCCCACCCUCAUGACCUAGUUAAUCCCCACAUGCCCUGCCUCUUGCUACCAUCACAUAGGGGAAUAGGUUUCAAUGUAUGAAUUUUAGGGAGACACAAACAUUCAGACCGUAGCAGGGACAUUGACUUUCAUACCAAAACCACUGGUUUCACUUCUGUCUUCAGCUCCACCCUGUCAUGAAAGAUGCUCUCACUGUGUUGCAUUUCAUUCAGGCACUGAGUCUGUAGCUGGCACAGUGACGGGGACCCUGGGUCUGCCCCUGGCUGGCCCUGUUGCCCUGGAUCAAGUUACUGAAGCUCUCAGAAACUCAUCUUCGUCACUUCUCAAGAGAAAAGGUGACAGAUACCGGCUGAAGAGAAUGGACUGUCGGGUCUCUAAGUUUCCUUCACAAACGUUCUCCGAUUCAGUGACGAGACAGCUCAUUUCUUACCUGACGCAAGAGGGUUCUUUAUAUUUGCGGUCUCAACUUGAGUUGUCUUUUCCAUUUGGUGCAUAUGUUGACCAGUGUAUCCAAGUAAACUAGACCUAUGUCAUUCAUCAUUUGCAACUCUUUGUGAGCAUAAAGCGUUAGCUAUUUCAGGGACAAAGCUGAGACCUAGAGUUUGCACAUAAUGGGAACAGCUCAUAUGCAUUGAGCACAUGUUAUGUGUCAGAUGCACUUCUAAGCACUCGUAUGGGUAUUAGCUUUUCUAGUCUGCACAAUGGCCUCAAGUUAAGUCCUAUCAGUAGGACUUAACUCCAUCUUACCGGUGAGGAAACAAGCAGCCUGCCCAGGGUCACACCAAGACUGGGUGUUCUAGCUUCAGAGCCCACACUGCAACCGCUCUUCUUUCUACCUCCCAGAGGGCCAGGCCUUACACAGCAGCGGUUCCUCAUCUUCACGGCGAGGUAGAGCAUAAACAGGCACGAGAGGUGCAGGUUGGCAUUCCUAGAAAACUACGAGCACUUGAAAAUUAGAACAAGACAUCUUCCAUUUACCAAAAACCUUCUCUGCGCCAUCAAGAUCAUCCUGCGAGGCUCCUUUUCGCGGCCUCCUCCUCUCCUAACUCAGAUAAGGAAAAUUAGGAUGACAGUUGUGGCCAUACAGGUUGGAAACUGGGUCAUUUUUGUAAAAUCGUCCUUCUUUGCCAAUAGCAUUGUUGAAUUCCUUCUGAGAAUUAAAAAACAAACAAGCAAACAAACGAUGUGGAACAAUCUGUGGCAGAUGGUUAUUUCAGUUCUAGGUGAGUCUUUGUCAUUAUAUUCUGGGAAGUGGAAAUUAUGGCUUUAGAUAAUCAUCUGUUAUUGUAGGGAACUGCCAGCCAGGAACUAGUGUAGAUAUAAUGGUUUAAGGUGGGGAUAUUUUCCCCCCUAGAGAUUAGUACCAUUUUCAUUUGAAUUCUGUAGGAUUUUAGGUGUCCAGUAUGAGGGGCAUUUUCAUCCUGCAGUUCCUGCGGUGAGAGUGAUCCCGGCUUAGAGGAAUCAGCAUUCCAUGCCGUGCCACUGGGUGUAAACAAGGAAGCUAACAGGUCACUUGGGGGUGGGAGAGGUGAGGUGAAAUUAGGUGUAAAGAACAACUUAGCCCUCUUCUCGAGGUUUAGCUUCCCCUGGAAAAUACGGCAAUAAACAGCUAAACCAUGGUGUUCACUACCAGCACAAGUCCCUAAUUAAUUUAUUUUAUGUUAAUUAAGUUUAUAAUUAUAUAGUAAAACAUUUACUUUCUCCCUCAAGAAAUUGACUGAAUCUUCUGAAGGGGCUUUGUGACUGUAAUUUAGGUGCAAUUAGCCAGUUAAAUUUAGUUAGGGUUUGGUUCAUUUAGCUGCUGCUGGAAGAUACUAGAUAGGCAGAAACCAGCGUCGUGGUGGGGGGAGGCAGGUCUGGGUAGAGAGGAUGUGUUCCCGGAGGCUCUUGGCUCACCUUCGGACAACUAGGGCAUCCAGUUGUCUAGGACAAUUGGAAACUGAAGAUCUGUUAAUGUCGUGGUUGCAUAAUUAUCACCUUUGUCUGUUCCUCGGUUGUGGAACUGUAGAAUUGGUUUCACAGUCAAGGUUAAAGGCAAAAUCAUUUUGCAAGAAAUAUUUUUGUGGCCAGAUUUCAAGACUAGUGGAAU